Molecule: ribosomal RNA, 468 nt
Filed under: uncultured bacterium
Lineage: Bacteria
Description: partial 16S ribosomal RNA
Rfam family: Bacterial small subunit ribosomal RNA
Source: RNAcentral
GACGAACGCUGGCGGCGUGCUUAACACAUGCAAGUCGAACGGAAAGGCCCUGCUUUUGUGGGGUGCUCGAGUGGCGAACGGGUGAGUAACACGUGAGUAACCUGCCCUUGACUUUGGGAUAACUUCAGGAAACUGGGGCUAAUACCGGAUAGGAGCUCCUGCUGCAUGGUGGGGGUUGGAAAGUUUCGGCGGUCGGGGAUGGACUCGCGGCUUAUCAGCUUGUUGGUGGGGUAGUGGCUUACCAAGGCUUUGACGGGUAGCCGGCCUGAGAGGGUGACCGGCCACAUUGGGACUGAGAUACGGCCCAGACUCCUACGGGCGGCAGCAGUGGGGAAUAUUGCACAAUGGGCGGAAGCCUGAUGCAGCAACGCCGCGUGCGGGAUGACGGCCUUCGGGUUGUAAACCGCUUUCGCCUGUGACGAAGCGUGAGUGACGGUAAUGGGUAAAGAAGCACCGGCUAACUACGUG